UUUACCGCUUUUUAAAAGAGUAGAAGAGGGGAAAAAGUUGUCGAAUCCAUUAACGAAGUUCUUGAGAGAAAAAAAAGAGAAGAAAAAAAAGAAAUAGAGAAUAAAAAUGAAGGAGCGAAGAAAAAGGGGAGAAAAAAAGGAGAAUAAGUAAAAUCGAUGACAGUUAUGCGGAACACGAAUGAUCCAUUAGAUGAUUUAAGGACACUUGUUAAAAAAAAAAGAAAAGAAAAGAGAUAAACGACACGCGUGAGGAUCUUUUGUGUUUGUCAAGAUCCGCGUAGUCUGUUUUAAUAAUUCGCUGUGAAUUUGAUGAAAAAUAAAUAUACAUAAUUAACAAUUAAAGUUAUUCAAUUAUUUUUUGGUUAAGAAGAUUUAUUACAACUUCCGCAAAUCAUGAUGAGUUUCAGAAAAAUGUCAAUGCCCGAAAAAAAGAGUCGAGAUAAAGGGAUCUGGACACGAACUGCAAUCGAGUACAUGCCAAACGAACGAGUCAUAAGUAUGGUUUAACUUUAACUAUCAUUUUGACAUUCGUGACACAGGAGCAGUUAAUAUACCUUCAUAAAUAUUUCUUAAGCCAAAAUCAUUUGCAUCAAAAAAAGGUUGACAGGGUUUGUCGAGCAGAAAACCCGUUUUUUUUUAUCAACUUCAAUUCGAAAAAGGAAAAAUUUACAAAAAAAAAGGAAAAAAUUCGAUGAAAGAAUAUUUUUUCGUUGAAAUUAACUUGUA
This is a long non-coding RNA of Leptopilina heterotoma, 726 nucleotides long. RefSeq lists it as uncharacterized. The transcript is spliced from 3 exons. The record is from RefSeq and is a predicted model, not a curated record. Lineage: Eukaryota; Metazoa; Arthropoda; Insecta; Hymenoptera; Figitidae.